Contarinia nasturtii (swede midge) is the source of this 1105-nucleotide long non-coding RNA. RefSeq lists it as uncharacterized. The record is from RefSeq and is a predicted model, not a curated record. Lineage: Eukaryota; Metazoa; Arthropoda; Insecta; Diptera; Cecidomyiidae. The transcript is spliced from 3 exons.
UACGUCUCGAAAAACGAUAAACUUAAAAAAGUCAUGAAUAAAAAUUUUGAUGGUAGAUUUUAAUUUAUAUACUCAUUCCGACCAAUAGAUGGUGUUGAGACACCAGUCAAGCCACACUAUAUUAACAAAAGACAAAAUCGGGAGAGAGGGAGAGAGAGCGAGACGAUGAGAGAAACAAUAAUGCAACUCAACAGCCAUCCAUUGCGCAUGAGAUCUUCAUUGACAAAAUCUCUGAGUAAAAAAAGCAUUGGGAGCUCUUGUAAAAUAUUAUAUCGAUUGUUGUUAACAACAUGUCCGUCACAUUGUAUUGAAUAUUCUGCAGUAUUUUUGCAAAACAAAAUGAAAGUAAAUUCAUUACGAUUCCGACCUUUCGUUUUAUUUUGUGUUUACCUCUGAAUGCAGUGUAUUUGGUAUUUUAAAUCGUCAAAUGAUUUCUUAUUACAUGUUUAUCUGCAUUGAAUGUUUGUGUUUAAUCAAAAAAGUUUGAUGUGCUUUUAUAAUUUUUGUAUGCCAGGAGUUGCUUUCCUAACCACCGACACUUCCAGUGUAUCAUAUAGUUUGAAUAAAUAUAUUUCCGUCAAUCGUUCAAAAUUCGAAAAAUGUGAAUCAUUUCAAUAAAGUUUUUUCGAUUGUAUUGAGUUUCACAGUAUUUUCCACCCAAAAGUAAAGUACAUGUUCAAAUGAUUCUUUUUAUAAAAGAAUUUUAGUUGUGUAAAAAAAAAAUAAGUAGAACAUCUUAUAUCCGUGUAUUUCUAAUAAAACAUUGUGAACUUCACGCAUCCAAGUAUUGAAAGCUAAAAUAAUAGGACUUAUUUAAGGUUAAUCUUCAACAUUCCACUUCGAAUUUUAGCUAUAUCCAUGCACCGAUGUGCGAGAGAAAUUGACCGUUACAGCGUUUGUCUGAGUCGUUGAGAGAAGAAAUUAAAGAAUGUUAAAUCUUGAUAGUGUAUGCAUUUAUUUUAAAAUGGAUAUAAAUAAAUAGUGAAAAUUGAUUAUUUCUUGUGAGAAAAAAAAAAGAAUUGUGGUGAAUAUAGUUCUUUUUACCGUGAAACUAAGUAAUAAAACCAAAAUUCAAGAAAUUUUUAGUAGCUAUUGGAUAAACAUU